GUCCAGACUCCUACGGGAGGCAGCAGUGAGGAAUAUUGGUCAAUGGGCGGGAGCCUGAACCAGCCAAGUCGCGUGAGGGAAGACGGUCCUACGGAUUGUAAACCUCUUUUGCCGGGGAGCAACGGGGUCCUUGCGAGGACCCGAUGAGAGUACCCGGAGAAAAAGCAUCGGCUAACUCCGUGCCAGCAGCCGCGGUAAUACGGGGGGUGCAAGCGUUGUCCGGAAUCAUUGGGCGUAAAGCGUUCGUAGGCGGUAAAGUAAGUCAGAUGUUAAAGCCCGGGGCUCAACUCCGGUUCGGCAUUUGAUACUACUUGACUAGAAUGCGGUAGAGGUAAAGGGAAUUCCUGGUGUAGCGGUGAAAUGCGUAGAUAUCAGGAGGAACAUCGGUGGCGAAAGCGCUUUACUGGGCCGUUAUUGACGCUAAGGAACGAAAGCCAGGGUAGCAAACGGGAUUAGAUACCCCCGUAC
This 468-nucleotide ribosomal RNA is filed under the name uncultured bacterium. RNAcentral's name for it is "bacterial SSU rRNA". It matches the Rfam family "Bacterial small subunit ribosomal RNA", at positions 329 to 793 of the family's 1533-position model. The record is from RNAcentral.